RNAcentral lists this ribosomal RNA (690 nucleotides) under uncultured bacterium. RNAcentral describes it as "bacterial SSU rRNA". It matches the Rfam family "Bacterial small subunit ribosomal RNA", at positions 126 to 812 of the family's 1533-position model. The record is from RNAcentral.
CUGUCCGGUACAGGGGGAUAAGCGGCGGAAACGCCGUCUAAUACCGCGUGACAACCCGAGGGGGCAUCCCCUUGGGUUCAAAGGAGAGAUCCGGUACCGGCUGGGCAUGCGGCGCAUUAGCUAGUUGGCGGGGCAACGGCCCACCAAGGCGACGAUGCGUAGGGGUUCUGAGAGGAAGGUCCCCCACACUGGAACUGAGACACGGUCCAGACUCCUACGGGAGGCAGCAGUGAGGAAUAUUGGUCAAUGGGCGCAAGCCUGAACCAGCCAAGUCGCGUGAGGGAAGACGGCCCUACGGGUUGUAAACCUCUUUUGCCGGGGAGCAAGCCUGAGCACGUGUGCCCAGGCGGAGAGUACCCGGAGAAAAAGCAUCGGCUAACUCCGUGCCAGCAGCCGCGGUAAUACGGAGGAUGCGAGCGUUAUCCGGAUUUAUUGGGUUUAAAGGGUGCGCAGGCGGGCUGUUAAGCCGGCGGUAAAAAUUCAGGGCUCAACCCUGUCGAGCCGUCGGAACUGGCAGUCUUGAGUGGGCGAGAAGUAUGCGGAAUGCGUGGUGUAGCGGUGAAAUGCAUAGAUAUCACGCAGAACGCCGAUUGCGAAGGCAGCAUACCGGCGCCCAACUGACACUGAGGCACGAAAGCGUGGGGAUCGAACAGGAUUAGAUACCCUGGUAGUCCACGCAGUAAACGAUGA